UGGGGAAUAUUGCACAAUGGGGGAAACCCUGAUGCAGCGACGCCGCGUGAGCGAAGAAGUAUCUCGGUAUGUAAAGCUCUAUCAGCAGGGAAGAAAAAUGACGGUACCUGACUAAGAAGCCCCGGCUAACUACGUGCCAGCAGCCGCGGUAAUACGUAGGGGGCAAGCGUUAUCCGGAUUUACUGGGUGUAAAGGGAGCGCAGGCGGCGCGGCAAGUCUGAUGUGAAAGCCCGGGGCUCAACCCCGGGACUGCAUUGGAAACUGUCGCGCUCGAGUGUCGGAGAGGUAAGUGGAAUUCCUAGUGUAGCGGUGAAAUGCGUAGAUAUUAGGAGGAACACCAGUGGCGAAGGCGGCUUACUGGACGACAACUGACGCUGAGGCUCGAAAGCGUGGGGAGCAAACAGG
RNAcentral lists this ribosomal RNA (405 nucleotides) under uncultured bacterium. RNAcentral's name for it is "bacterial SSU rRNA". It matches the Rfam family "Bacterial small subunit ribosomal RNA", at positions 355 to 776 of the family's 1533-position model. The record is from RNAcentral.